This 250-nucleotide long non-coding RNA is filed under the name Elaeis guineensis (African oil palm). Its description in RNAcentral is "long non-coding RNA (EGUI_LNC000916)". Lineage: Eukaryota; Viridiplantae; Streptophyta; Magnoliopsida; Arecales; Arecaceae. The record is from RNAcentral.
CUGAAGUGAGCCAAGCCAAUCUACUUGCGGUUUAAUGAAGGGGGAUGGACAAUCAUAAUUCUUACACUCCUACGUGACAAAGUCUUCCUAAAUCUUUUGCUCAGCCUGCUACAGCGAGACCGUUUUUCUAACACAAACCACAAAGUCCGGAUAUAUUGCAUCCAGACCGUUGCAAUGGAGAUUCUUUUUACUUGACGUGGCAACUGCCUAUUGGUUGAAUACCACGAAUUUCUUAUGAGACGGGCUACAU